AGCAGUGGUCUUCCUGUCAUCACGAGCGUAAGAUCACUGUCAGCUCAUCCCAAGAGGGCUAAAAGAACACUUCCUCAACAAACAACAUCCAAAAGACAGAGAGUUCAAUACAGCAGUCGGCGUGUCUCUAAAGCAUCCACAUCAGAGGAUGUUGGUCCACAAACCCCCCCUUCUGUUACUCAGAGAAUGAUGAUGAUGAUGUCAGCACAACUCAGGGGGACCAGGCAGGGCAGAGCACAUUGAAUUUGAGAAAUAAAGACCAGAGUAAAGAUGUGGAUGUCUAUGCCGGCUGCACUGAGACACAUCAUCAAGACACUGAAAAAGGUGCUGAACCUUCUUGGGCAGAUACCUGUGAUAGAGAUCACAAUCGGCGAAGAAACCAAACAGAAAUGCACUGAGCUGAUUGAUGUACUGAAUGCUAUUCAGCCCCAGCAUAGUACUGCCAAAAGUGAAGGGAGGGCUUGAUCCAUUAAAGAUGGAAAGGGAUUAACUGCACGCAUAGUUUCAUUUAGCCUCAGCACAUCGAGUGCCCUCUGGUCUCCUUUGUGCCGGCACUGGACCUGGUUUGAGCAAAUUUUGAUGGUAAUGUUGAGAUGCUAGAACGUGUGCCCUGAGAAAAGUCAUGGUUAUUCUCAGAUGUCUUUAAAUUGUUUCUUCUUUCUGUUCUCUUUUUGUAUGUUUUGUAUGGAUCCUUCCAAAUCAGAUUUCAUAUUUCUGUCUCUGUGAUUAAAACCUUGGUGGUAUGUUAUCAUUGCUAUUCCUAUGCACCUUUAAUAGGACAAACGGUUUGUAAGAUACAGUUGACAGCUUGCUUACUGUAUGUUUCUGAGUGAUACAAAAUAAAACUUGGCUAAAACAAUUUA
Long non-coding RNA from Notolabrus celidotus (New Zealand spotty), 863 nucleotides. RefSeq lists it as uncharacterized. The transcript has 3 exons. The record is from RefSeq and is a predicted model, not a curated record. NCBI's taxonomy places the organism in Eukaryota, Metazoa, Chordata, Actinopteri, Labriformes, Labridae.